This 322-nucleotide unclassified non-coding RNA is filed under the name Pulex irritans. Its description in RNAcentral is "sequence contains ITS2". Lineage: Eukaryota; Metazoa; Arthropoda; Insecta; Siphonaptera; Pulicidae. The record is from RNAcentral.
UAUAUCAUAAUCAGACUGCCGCUUGCUCGCUUCUACGCUUGCACGCCGGCGUAUAUUGAGGUUUUCGCGUAAAUGCGUGCCUUUAAAUUAUUCACUCAACGUGUGAGCCAGUGCGAUUCGCAACAAACGACAUUACGUUUCGUUGUCGGUUUCGCGGGAUUACGACGGGUUGUGUGUCCUAGAGUAUUUUAUUCUUUGCGACCCUUCCGCACGUCAGAAACCCGGACCGCUUCGAUAUUAUAGCGUUCUGUCGGCGUUUCGUACGAUUCGAAGGUUCCUCGUAGUCGUUCGCAUUCACAGAAUGCCGUUCGAUAUCACAAAA